This 420-nucleotide ribosomal RNA is filed under the name Fusobacteriota bacterium. RNAcentral's name for it is "Fusobacteria bacterium partial 16S ribosomal RNA". It matches the Rfam family "Bacterial small subunit ribosomal RNA", at positions 355 to 776 of the family's 1533-position model. Lineage: Bacteria; Fusobacteriati; Fusobacteriota. The record is from RNAcentral.
UGGGGGAUAUUGCACAAUGGGCGAAAGCCUGAUGCAGCGACGCCGCGUGGGGGAUGAAGGCCUUCGGGUUGUAAACUUCUUUUGCUCUGAACAAGGCAUGCCUUUGGGGUGUGUUGAGUGUAGGGGUUGAUUAGCGCCGGCUAACUACGUGCCAGCAGCCGCGGUAAUACGUAGGGCGCGAGCGUUGUCCGGAAUUAUUGGGCGUAAAGGGCUUGUAGGUGGCUGGUUGCGUCUGUCGUGAAAGCUCAUGGCUUAACUGUGGGUUUGCGGUGGGUACGGGCUGGCUUGAGUGCAGUAGGGGAGGCUGGAAUUCCUGGUGUAGCGGUGGAAUGCGCAGAUAUCAGGAGGAAUACCGGUGGCGAAGGCGGGUCUCUAGGCUGUUACUGACGCUGAGGAGCGAAAGCGUGGGGAGCGAACAGG